Molecule: non-coding RNA, 72 nt
Organism: Bacteroides sp. CAG:709
Lineage: Bacteria; Pseudomonadati; Bacteroidota; Bacteroidia; Bacteroidales; Bacteroidaceae
Source: Rfam
GCCGGUGUAGCUCAGGGGUAGAGCGCAUCCUUGGUAAGGAUGAGGUCAUGAGUUCAAUUCCCAUCACCGGCU